RNAcentral lists this ribosomal RNA (1529 nucleotides) under uncultured prokaryote. RNAcentral's name for it is "partial 16S ribosomal RNA". It matches the Rfam family "Bacterial small subunit ribosomal RNA". The record is from RNAcentral.
AGAGUUUGAUCCUGGCUCAGAGCGAACGCUGGCGGCGCGUUUUAAGCAUGCAAGUCGAACGAGAAGAUCGGGUUUGAAGCUUCGGUGGAUUUCUCGAUAUUUUAGUGGCGAACGGGUGAGUAACACGUGGGUAAUCUGCCCCAAAGAUCGGGAUAGCCUAUGGAAACAUGGAUUAAUACCGGAUGUUGUGGCAUUUACAUAAGUAAAUAUCAUUAAAGGUGGGGACCGUAAGGCCUGCCACUUUGGGAUGAGCCCGCGGCCCAUUAGCUUGUUGGUGGGGUAAAAGCCUAUCCAAGGCUAUGAUGGGUAGCCGGCCUGAGAGGGUGAACGGCCACAUUGGGACUGAGAUACGGCCCAGACUCCUACGGGAGGCAGCAGCUAAGAAUCUUCCGCAAUGGACGAAAGUCUGACGGAGCGACACCGCGUGAGUGAUGAAGGUGUUCAUGCAUUGUAAAACUCUUUCGAAAAGGAAGAAUAAGGAUGCUCUAAUAUAGUAUCUGAUGACGACCCUCUUUAAAGAAGCCCCGGCUAAUUACGUGCCAGCAGCCGCGGCAAUACGUAAGGGGUAAGCGUUGCUCGGAAUUACUGGGCGUAAAGGGCAUGUAGGCGGGAAAGUAAGUUGGGGGUGAAAUCUAGGGGCUCAACCUCUAAACUGCCUCCAAAACUGCUUUUCUUGAGUACGGGAGAGGAGAAUGGAAUUCCUAGUGUAGGGGUGAAAUCUGUAGAUAUUAGGAAGAACACCAGUGGCGAAGGCGAUUCUCUGGCUUAGUACUGACGCUAAAAUGCGAAAGCGUGGGGAGCGAACAGGAUUAGAUACCCUGGUAGUCCACGCCGUAAACGAUGUAUACUAGGCGUUGGUGGUAUCAAUCCCACCAGUGCCGCAGCUAACGCUUUAAGUAUACCGCCUGGGGAGUAUGCCCGCAAGGGUGAAACUCAAAGGAAUUGACGGGGGCCCGCACAAGCGGUGGAGCAUGUGGUUUAAUUCGAUGAUACGCGAAGAACCUUACCAGUGGCUUGACAUUCAGGAGACAGGUUGUGAAAGCAGCCCUUCUUCGGACCUGUUCACAGGUGCUGCAUGGCUGUCGUCAGCUCGUGUCGUGAGAUGUUGGGUUAAGUCCCGCAACGAGCGCAACCCUCGCCUUUAGUUGCCAUCAUUAAGUUGGGCACUCUAAAGGGACUGCCGGUGUCAAACCGGAGGAAGGUGGGGAUGACGUCAAGUCCUCAUGGCCUUUAUGACCAGGGCUACACACGUACUACAAUGGCAUGUACAAAGGGCAGCGAGCUCGCGAGAGUCAGCGAAUCCCAUAAAGCAUGUCUCAGUCCGGAUUGGAGUCUGCAACUCGACUCCAUGAAGUUGGAAUCGCUAGUAAUCGUGGAUCAGCAUGCCACGGUGAAUACGUUCCCGGGCCUUGUACACACCGCCCGUCACACCACGAAAGUCGGUUGUUCCAGAAGCGGUCGGGCUAACCCAAAAGGGGGGCAGGCACCCAAGGUAUGGCUGGUAAUUGGGGUGAAGUCGUAACAAGGUA